RNAcentral lists this ribosomal RNA (298 nucleotides) under uncultured bacterium. RNAcentral's name for it is "partial 16S ribosomal RNA". It matches the Rfam family "Bacterial small subunit ribosomal RNA", at positions 335 to 651 of the family's 1533-position model. The record is from RNAcentral.
GUCCUACGGGGGGCAGCAGUGGGGGAUAUUGCACAAUGGGGGCAACCCUGAUGCAGCGACGCCGCGUGAGCGAUGGAGUACUUCGGUAUGUAAAGCUCUGUCAGCAGGGAAGAAAAUGACGGUACCUGAAGAAGAAGCCCCGGCUAACUACGUGCCAGCAGCCGCGGUAAUACGUAGGGGGCAAGCGUUAUCCGGAAUGAUUGGGCGUAAAGGGUGCGCAGGCGGUCCUGCAAGUCUGGAGUGAAACGCAUGAGCUCAACUCAUGCAUGGCUUUGGAAACUGGAGGACUGGAGAGCAG